Molecule: ribosomal RNA, 465 nt
Filed under: uncultured bacterium
Lineage: Bacteria
Description: partial 16S ribosomal RNA
Rfam family: Bacterial small subunit ribosomal RNA
Source: RNAcentral
GACGAACGCUGGCGGCGUGCUUAACACAUGCAAGUCGAACGGAAAGGCCCCUUCGGGGGUCCUCGAGUGGCGAACGGGUGAGUAACACGUGAGUAACCUGCCCUUGACUUCGGGAUAACUUCAGGAAACUGGGGCUAAUACCGGAUAGGAAUCCUUGCUGCAUGGUGGGGGUUGGAAAGCUUCGGCGGUUUUGGAUGGACUCGCGGCUUAUCAGCUUGUUGGUGGGGUAGUGGCUUACCAAGGCUUUGACGGGUAGCCGGCCUGAGAGGGCGACCGGCCACAUUGGGACUGAGAUACGGCCCAGACUCCUACGGGAGGCAGCAGUGGGGAAGAUUGCACAAUGGGCGGAAGCCUGAUGCAGCAACGCCGCGUGCGGGAUGACGGCCUUCGGGUUGAAAACCGCUUUCAGCAGGGGCGAAGCUUGUGGUGACGGUACCUGCAGAAGAAGCACCGGCUAACUACGUG